RNAcentral lists this ribosomal RNA (253 nucleotides) under uncultured bacterium. RNAcentral describes it as "partial 16S ribosomal RNA". It matches the Rfam family "Bacterial small subunit ribosomal RNA", at positions 524 to 776 of the family's 1533-position model. The record is from RNAcentral.
UACGGAGGGCGCAAGCGUUGUUCGGAAUUACUGGGCGUAAAGCGCGUGUAGGCGUCCAGGUAAGUCGGAUGUGAAAGCCCGGGGCCCAACCCCGGAACUGCACCCGAGACUGACUGGCUGGAGUCCCGGAGAGGAGGGCGGAAAUUCCGGUGUAGAGGUGAAAUUCGUAGAUAUCGGAAGGAACACCAGUGGCGAAGGCGGCCAUCUGGACGGUGACUGACGCUGAGACGCGAAAGCGUGGGGAGCAAACAGG